Molecule: ribosomal RNA, 464 nt
Filed under: uncultured bacterium
Lineage: Bacteria
Description: partial 16S ribosomal RNA
Rfam family: Bacterial small subunit ribosomal RNA
Source: RNAcentral
CUACGGGCCGCUGCAGUGGGGAAUAUUGCACAAUGGGCGCAAGCCUGAUGCAGCCAUGCCGCGUGUAUGAAGAAGGCCUUCGGGUUGUAAAGUACUUUCAGCGGGGAGGAAGGGAGUAAAGUUAAUACCUUUGCUCAUUGACGUUACCCGCAGAAGAAGCACCGGCGAACUCCGUGCCAGCAGCCGCGGUAAUACGGAGGGUGCAAGCGUUAAUCGGAAUUACUGGGCGUAAAGCGCACGCAGGCGGUUUGGUAAGUCAGAGUUGAAAUCCCCGGGCUCAACCUGGGAACUGCAUCUGAUACUGGCAAGCUUGAGUCUGGUAGAGGGGGGUAGAAUUCCAGGUGUAGCGGUGAAAUGCGUAGAGAUCUGGAGGAAUACCGGUGGCGAAGGCGGCCCCCUGGACGAAGACUGACGCUCAGGUGCGAAAGCGUGGGGAGCAAACAGGAUUAGAUACCCCGGUAGUC